CUAUCUUACAGCGACAUUCCAGGGACA
Molecule: non-coding RNA, 27 nt
Filed under: Mus musculus (house mouse)
Lineage: Eukaryota; Metazoa; Chordata; Mammalia; Rodentia; Muridae
Source: RNAcentral